Long non-coding RNA from Acanthopagrus latus (yellowfin seabream), 1242 nucleotides. RefSeq lists it as uncharacterized. The record is from RefSeq and is a predicted model, not a curated record. NCBI's taxonomy places the organism in Eukaryota, Metazoa, Chordata, Actinopteri, Spariformes, Sparidae. The transcript has 3 exons.
AACACACACACACACAGACACAGUAGGCGUAUAUCAGUGAGAUGUAUAGGCUGUGAGGGUGUAACGCUGAAGAAAAGGAAAAAAGCUGACAGUGAUGUGAGAACUUUGUGAACAACUCUGAUAUUCUGACUACAUACAGCCUCACAUAGCCAGGUUCUCAGCCUGCCAUAUAAACAAAAAUGGGAAUGUUCCAUAAUGAGUGGUGCAGCACACCAGCUGCUUGCGUCUCUAGUGUUGAAUUAACGCCCCUCUGAAACAGUUCGAACCCAAGCUAAACAUUAUAACCUUCAUGUAGGCAGCUUUUACUGCAGGGCUGUUGUAUUAAACUGCAUCGUUUCUAGGUAGGUGCGCCUAACAAACUGGAAGCCUGAGUGCAUGUGACGGUUAGAGCAACACUGACACCUGCUGGUCUAAAAUAAAAAAUGCAAUCACUGUUGCACUGAGGCCGAGUGGCGCUCAAAAGCUUUGGCUUUGAUUUCUUCUCCUCCUCACGUUCCUGCAGCAGAAUAGCAAGACAGCCCAGCGUUCCCUCCAUUACAGACGAGGCUGACUGAGCAAAGACCGCAGCCGUUAAACACGCUGCAUAACCAGCGAUGAACAAAACACAGGGUUGGCAGACUCACCCCCUCUGCAGCAAACAAAGUCUUCUUCAGAUGGAGGCACUGGACAGAGAAGAAGAAGAAGGGAGCAGACCGGUCCCGGUCCAGAUGCCAGGUCUGACGUCCGUUAGCUGACUUACUGGUACAAAUAAGCAGUGAGCAGGAACACUGCUAGACUGCAGGAGGCCUGUGACUGACGGCAGCCUCAAAGCCAGACGCCAGCCCUAAUCAAAUAAACAGACAGCUCCCGAUGGACAAGACAUCAUCACCCAAAUAUUCACAUCUGACUUCAUUCUCAUAAUAAUAUGCAAUAUGUACACAGGAAGCCACGGGAAGGAGCUGUGCUGCCCCCCCGAGGGACUCUAUCUGUUCUCUCGUGAAGAAUGUGAGAGUCAGUCAUAAUAAUCCACUGUAAAUAUCAUGCAUUGUGCUUCAAAAUAAUCAAAGGAAAUCAAAAUCUAAUUCUCCUCAGUUUCAUGAGCAUGAGGUCAUGUAUGAGCAUCAGGAAAUGGUGGUGGGGGGGUAAUGAUGAUGAGUGUAACAAGAUUACAGUGCAAUGUUCUGUGGAUGUGACCUUUAAUCACGCUGAUGUUUAAAACAGACAAAAUACUUCAAGAUUAUAUUUGACUCGAAAACUUUUUUU